RNAcentral lists this unclassified non-coding RNA (313 nucleotides) under Hevea brasiliensis (rubber tree). Lineage: Eukaryota; Viridiplantae; Streptophyta; Magnoliopsida; Malpighiales; Euphorbiaceae. The record is from RNAcentral.
GGAAUUUACCGGCGAGAAAUGAGAAAUUCACGACGAGAAUCCGUACAAAUCGUAAGGUGCCCAAAGGGAAUCGAGCGGACACGGCUCUUUUGAGUCAAGCCGAAGCCACGGCUUGCCGGAGCCGCUCCAGUGGAGGAGGCUUACCGGACCGGAAUGUAAAUCACGGCAACUUCCCUUUACAUUAUCACCGCCUAAACCGUGCUGGUUCCAUCUGUGCUCAAUGGGUGCCACGUGUCCGGCGAAGACCAAGAGGUACGGCGGUAAUGAACCCAGUUCAUAGAUCCGAUUGGUUUUCUGGAUAUCCAUCCAUUUU